UAUUAACUGUUAUGCAAGUAGAUAAGCCGACAUGUGCGUGCUUCAGUUGAUGUCUCUAGUUUAUCCUGCACAAACAGAAUGUGUUGCUUUUGAAUAUUAUUUCCACUUAAUCUUUGACUCUGCCCUUUGAAAUGGUAAGGAGUGUAUUUUCCGCUAUAUGACAACGAUUCCUCUCGUUUAUCGAAGUGUUUCAUGUCAAUGGGGGCAAAUUCGCGGAAACGGGCCGUAAAAGCGAUUUGUGCCUCUCACCGCUUCUAACGGAGGAAACCAAAAAAUGGCCCUUGACCAGGUAAACCUCGCGCAACGAUUUACACUAAUGGCAACAAACUGCUACCAAUUUGCUUUAAAAAGAGCAAAUAAUAAAAUCGACGGCGCAUAUCGCCCUUAAAGAUACACUUUUUUUCCAAACAAAAAUUCCCGCACACCAGCAAAAUCUAAAUUUGUUUUUGUAUUGUACAAACACGUCUCAGCUUACUUGAUGCUAUUGCUGGUUUCACUAAGGGCACCGCAGUGUAAUCGUAAUAAUUGUGGGGUAAAUACGAUAGCAUAUUGCUGUCAAAACUCAGAAGAUUAAUGAUUUCACUAGAAUGCCCUUAUAGAACCCUGGCACGUCCAGAAUUUUGAGUGACAAGGACAUUCCGAUGCGUUCAAGCAACGCGCGGCCCGUCCCAAGAUAUCGUACCCCAUCGUUGAACAAUCUUGUGUUUUCAACGCGAAGAGGCUGUUGCAACGUCCGUUAUGGUGUUGUGGGGAGAAAGGGAUAGGAACAGGACCAGGUAGUGCUUUUCGUAAUCGUGUCAGCUCGCACACCAGCAAGUGAUAAUAUCUCUGGAGUUGUAGCGCCCGAGGUACAGGUGUGGUUCAAGAACCGAAGGGCGAAAUGGAGAAAACAAAAGAGGGAAAAUCAAGAAUAUAAGAAGCAGACUCAAGAUUUAACGAC
RNAcentral lists this unclassified non-coding RNA (940 nucleotides) under Orbicella faveolata. Its description in RNAcentral is "homeobox protein goosecoid-like, transcript variant X1". Lineage: Eukaryota; Metazoa; Cnidaria; Anthozoa; Scleractinia; Merulinidae. The record is from RNAcentral.